This is a non-coding RNA of Nothobranchius furzeri (turquoise killifish), 298 nucleotides long. NCBI's taxonomy places the organism in Eukaryota, Metazoa, Chordata, Actinopteri, Cyprinodontiformes, Nothobranchiidae. The record is from RefSeq and is a predicted model, not a curated record.
AGAUACUCUGGUGUUUCAUAUCAGUCUGAGCAUCGAUGUGUUGUUGUGACAGUCAGACCUCAUCACGUUUUUCAUCUGAAAAUGAAAAUUGCUACUACAUUGUCUCUGGUGAACGACAAGGAGAUCCUUCAAAACGCGAUCAAAGAUGAACUGGUGAGACGAGGAAUGGCAUCAAGCAUCCGUGUUCGACUCCUGGGUGGCGAUUUAGUGGAAGUUCGAACACCAACUCCCCCUUCUGGCUGAUUGUGGGAGUGUAACUGACGUCUGUUGAGAAAUGCGUUUGAGUUUGAUUCAGAUG